This 614-nucleotide ribosomal RNA is filed under the name Lyomyces sp. 12 MPM-2012. RNAcentral's name for it is "eukaryotic LSU rRNA". The stretch from base 213 to 366 matches the Rfam family "5.8S ribosomal RNA". The record is from RNAcentral. Lineage: Eukaryota; Fungi; Basidiomycota; Agaricomycetes; Hymenochaetales; Schizoporaceae.
ACAGGACUUGAUGCUGGUAGCAGUGAUGCUACAUGUGCUCGGUCUCGUCAAAUCCACUUUACACCUGUGCACUUUCAAAGCUCUGUAGUCCUCCGUAAUGGGAGCCGCGGUUUUAAGUAACUGCUGGGGCUGCACCUUUGCCCAACCUUUACACAAACUCUGUAUAUUGUCUUGUAGAAUGUCUAUUAGCCUUAGUUGGCUUAAUAUUAUACAACUUUCAACAACGGAUCUCUUGGCUCUCGCAUCGAUGAAGAACGCAGCGAAAUGCGAUAAGUAAUGUGAAUUGCAGAAUUCAGUGAAUCAUCGAAUCUUUGAACGCACCUUGCGCUCCUUGGUAUUCCGAGGAGCAUGCCUGUUUGAGUGUCAUUAAAUCAUCAAUCCAACAGCUUUGCGGUUGUUGGCUUGGACUUGGGGACUUGCUGUUGCCCGUCGAGGCRUUGGCUUCCCUUAAAUGCAUUAGCUGGAGAUUUACUUGCAGCAUAUAUGCGGUGUGAUAAUAUCGUCACUGUGUAGCUCUCGUGAAGUCUGGCUUCUAACNGUCCUUUGGUUGGACAAUUUGACAAUCUGACCUCAAAUCAGGUAGGACUACCCGCUGAACUUAAGCAUAUCAAUAA